GUAGGUGGCAAGCGUUGUCCGGAAUUAUUGGGCGUAAAGCGCGCGCAGGCGGUCCUUUAAGUCUGAUGUGAAAGCCCACGGGCUCAACCGUGGAGGGUCAUUGGAAACUGGGGGACUUGAGUACAGAAGAGGAAAGCGGAAUUCCAAGUGUAGCGGUGAAAUGCGUAGAGAUUUGGAGGAACACCAGUGGCGAAGGCGGCUUUCUGGUCUGUAACUGACGCUGAGGCGCGAAAGCGUGGGGAGCAAACAGGAUUAGAUACCCUGGUAGUCCACGCCGUAAACGAUGAGUGCUAAGUGUUAGGGAGUUUCCGCCCCUUAAUGCUGCAGCUAACGCAUUAAGCACUCCGCCUGGGGAGUACGGCCGCAAAGGCUG
Molecule: ribosomal RNA, 373 nt
Filed under: uncultured organism
Description: partial 16S ribosomal RNA
Rfam family: Bacterial small subunit ribosomal RNA
Source: RNAcentral